GCUUGCAGUGUUAAAGGACUUGGAAAGUGCAAGGCAGGAAAAGCUCUUUCAUCUCUACCAGUGUCAUUCCCAUCACCAGUAGGGCUAUAUGCCCAUUGUUCCCCAGUCACUCAGCAAAAGCGAGACCAUUGUAAAGUAUACAGAAUAGCCCGAUCCUGAAAAUGCUUUCUUUUUUAUUAUUGCAGACGGCUUCUACACUAAUAGGAAGUUAUAUAGCCGAGGUGGGAGACACAGAUGUUGAAAAGCAGCAGAACAUUGAUAGUACAGAGACUUUUCCCGGUAAGUAACAGCAUGUCCAGUUGGAAUCUAUAGGAGAAGACCCAGGAAACAAUCG
RNAcentral lists this long non-coding RNA (334 nucleotides) under Cricetulus griseus (Chinese hamster). RNAcentral describes it as "lncRNA (ENSCGRG00000024249.1)". The record is from RNAcentral. Lineage: Eukaryota; Metazoa; Chordata; Mammalia; Rodentia; Cricetidae.